AACUCUCAACAACGGAUAUCUUGGCUCCCGUAUCGAUGAAGAACGCAGCGAAAUGCGAUACGUAGUGUGAAUUGCAGAAUUCCGUGAACCAUCGAAUCUUUGAACGCAAAUUGCGCCUGAGGCUUCGGCCGAGGGCAUGUCUGCCUCAGCGUCGGCUU
This 158-nucleotide ribosomal RNA is filed under the name Chlorella sp. Esk Tower. Its description in RNAcentral is "5.8S ribosomal RNA". It matches the Rfam family "5.8S ribosomal RNA". Rfam says of the family: 5.8S ribosomal RNA (5.8S rRNA) is a component of the large subunit of the eukaryotic ribosome. It is transcribed by RNA polymerase I as part of the 45S precursor that also contains 18S and 28S rRNA. Functionally, it is thought that 5.8S rRNA may be involved in ribosome translocation. The record is from RNAcentral. Lineage: Eukaryota; Viridiplantae; Chlorophyta; Trebouxiophyceae; Chlorellales; Chlorellaceae.